AAACACAAUACUCCAGUUUGAAACCACCCCCACGGCUUGAGUUCCCCUGUUUCGCACGGCACACCCCCGGCUCAUAUAGCUCUCGCUCCCGCGUCAAGUUUCCGGCAGCCGCCGCCGCGCGCGUGGCCACUAGGCUUCGGGCCGUCGCCGCCCACCCCAGUUGUCACCGCCAUCUCGCCACCCGCUUUCUUUUCCCCUUCCUCUUCUUCCUUGCUCCCUCACAUCCCCUCGCGGCCUCGCCAGGUUUCCGGCAGCCAUCGCCACGCGCGUGCCCGGACUGGACGGAGCUUCCGCUGGACGCUCCACUGCGCGCGGCGUGCCCAGCUCUGGUGCCGCAUGGACAUUCGCUGCCGUCCGCUGCAGCGCGGAGCAGCGCGAGGCGUUCUGGCCAAACACGACCCCGCCACGUCCAAUCGCCAGCAAGUCAUGCGAGCUCUCUCUAUCUGGAGCUAUGGACAGGUGACGGGUUAUCAAAGCAUUACACACAACUCUGCCAUCCACAUGAAGAUUAAUUCCUAUUUGUAUGACUAUGAGACUAACUCUACCAUAUUAUGUAGUUCGAUAUUAACAUGUUCAGAUUCUAACUACUGGCUCUACGGCGGUGGUCAGAACCCUAGACCUAGUGGCGGUUGCUCUGGAAAUAAGACGAAGGAGAACGACAUGGGACGGCAGCUCAGUGAGUGUUAUGUGUAGGUCUGCCAUGCGGCCCGUGCAGGAACAGGGAUGGGCUCAAAAAAUUAUUAUAUUCCCACACUACCCUUCAUGCUGUUCUACCCGACCCAUCAGUGCACAUAUAGUGUUUCCUUGAUUACAGUAGUAUACUGCGGCGUGCCAAUGUGGACCUUUGGAUUUUCACAAAUGGAUGGCCUGUAUUCAAUACAGGGUACCAUAGAACAGCUCGGAGAUGAAGCAAGAUACUACCGCCAUCUUUGAGGUGGUUGCGAUUGAGGCGGAGAAGAAGGCAGAUGUUAUGAAGGAGAAGGCAGCUGAGGCAAAGCUGAAGAUGGAGAAAGCGAACAAGACGAUGGUGUUGAUGGUAGAGAGCAAUCAAGUGCUAGCUGACCCCGAGCAGCCACUCUCCGUUAAUAGUGUUUGGCAAGCUAUUAAUCUAAGAACAAGUUUUAACUACUACUCCCUAUGUUCCUUUUUAUAAGAUGUUCUAGCUCCCAAGUCAACUUCUUAAA
This is a long non-coding RNA of Brachypodium distachyon (stiff brome), 1184 nucleotides long. RefSeq lists it as uncharacterized. The transcript is spliced from 2 exons. The record is from RefSeq and is a predicted model, not a curated record. Lineage: Eukaryota; Viridiplantae; Streptophyta; Magnoliopsida; Poales; Poaceae.